This 447-nucleotide ribosomal RNA is filed under the name uncultured bacterium. RNAcentral's name for it is "SSU rRNA". It matches the Rfam family "Bacterial small subunit ribosomal RNA", at positions 26 to 518 of the family's 1533-position model. The record is from RNAcentral.
AGAACGAACGCUGGCGGCAGGCUUAACACAUGCAAGUCGAACGCUCGUAGCAAUACGGGAGUGGCAGACGGGUGAGUAACGCGUGGGAACAUACCCUCCGGUUCGGAAUAGCUCAGGGAAACUUGGAUUAAUACCGGAUACGGCCGAGAGGCGAAAGAUUUAUCGCCGGAGGAUUGGCCCGCGUUCGAUUAGCUAGUUGGUGAGGUAACGGCUCACCAAGGCGAUGAUCGAUAGCUGGUCUGAGAGGAUGAUCAGCCACAUUGGGACUGAGACACGGCCCAAACUCCUACGGGAGGCAGCAGUGGGGAAUAUUGGACAAUGGGCGCAAGCCUGAUCCAGCCAUGCCGCGUGAGUGAUGACGGCCUUAGGGUGUAAAGCUCUUUCGCUCGGGACGAUAAUGACGGUACCGAGAUAAGAAGCCCCGGCUAACUUCGUGCCAGCAGCCGC